Molecule: ribosomal RNA, 486 nt
Filed under: uncultured bacterium
Lineage: Bacteria
Description: partial 16S ribosomal RNA
Rfam family: Bacterial small subunit ribosomal RNA
Source: RNAcentral
AUUGAACGCUGGCGGCAUGCCUUACACAUGCAAGUCGAACGGCAGCACGGGUGCUUGCUCCUGGUGGCGAGUGGCGAACGGGUGAGUAAUACAUCGGAACAUGUCCUGCAGCGGGGGAUAGCCCGGCGAAAGCCGGAUUAAUACCGCAUACGAUCUACGGAUGAAAGCGGGGGACCUUCGGGCCUCGCGCCAUAGGGUUGGCCGAUGGCUGUUUAGCUAGUUGGUGGGGUAAAGGCCUACCAAGGCGACGAUCAGUAGCUGGUCUGAGAGGACGACCAGCCACACUGGGACUGAGACACGGCCCAGACUCCUACGGGAGGAAGCAGUGGGGAAUUUUGGACAAUGGGCGAAAGCCUGAUCCAGCAAUGCGGCGUGUGUGAAGAAGGCCUUCGGGUUGUAAAGCACUUUUGUCCGGAAAGAAAUCCUUGGCCCUAAUACGGUCGGGGGAUGACGGUACCGGAAGAAUAAGCACCGGCUAACUACGUG